RNAcentral lists this ribosomal RNA (486 nucleotides) under uncultured bacterium. RNAcentral describes it as "bacterial SSU rRNA". It matches the Rfam family "Bacterial small subunit ribosomal RNA", at positions 28 to 507 of the family's 1533-position model. The record is from RNAcentral.
GAUGAACGCUAGCGGCAGGCCUAACACAUGCAAGUCGAGGGGCAUCGCGGUGCAGCAAUGCACUGGCGGCGACCGGCGUACGGGUGCGUAACGCGUAUGCAACCUGCCCCGCACCGGGGGAUAGCCCGCCGAAAGGCGGAUUAAUACCCCAUGGUCCCGGGGGCCCGCAUGGGCAUCCGGGUAAAGCCUUGGCGGUGCGGGAUGGGCAUGCGUGCCAUUAGCUGGCUGGUGGGGUAACGGCCCACCAGGGCAACGAUGGCUAGGGGGUCUGAGAGGAUGGUCCCCCACACUGGUACUGAGACACGGACCAGACUCCUACGGGAGGCAGCAGUGAGGAAUAUUGGUCAAUGGGCGGAAGCCUGAACCAGCCAUGCCGCGUGCGGGAUGAAGGCCCUACGGGUUGUAAACCGCUUUUCCCCGGGAAGAAUAACCCCGAUGAGUCGGGUGAUGCCGGUACCGGGGGAAUAAGGAUCGGCUAACUCCGUG